Molecule: ribosomal RNA, 3050 nt
Filed under: Bifidobacterium leontopitheci
Lineage: Bacteria; Bacillati; Actinomycetota; Actinomycetes; Bifidobacteriales; Bifidobacteriaceae
Description: Bifidobacterium sp. LMG 31471 23S ribosomal RNA
Rfam family: Bacterial large subunit ribosomal RNA
Source: RNAcentral
GGCUGUUUGGAAGGGCGUAUGGUGGAUGCCUUGGCAGACAGUACCGAUGAAGGACGCUACAGGCAGCGAUAUGCCUCGGGGAGCCGCCAGGUGGGCUUUGAUCCGAGGGUUUCCGAAUGGGGCAACCCGGCACCCGUCAUGGGGUGUCACCGGCUUGUGUCCGGGGGGUACGCAGGGAAGUGAAACAUCUCAGUACCUGCAGGAAAGGAUGUUCCGUGAGUAGUGGCGAGCGAAAGCGGAUGAGGCCAAACCGCAUGCGUGUGAUAGGCGUCGGGCCGUUGCGUGUGUGGUGUCGUGGGAAUUCGUGGCCGGCCGCCCGAUGGGGCCGGCGGCAGUGAUAAAGACGCGUGCGAGGCGAACCGGAUUGGAUGCCGGGCCGUGGAGGGUGAUGGCCCCGUAGCCGUAUGCGCGUGUCCUGCCGAUCGUUUCUCCCAAGUAGCGCGGGACUCGUGGAAUCCCGUGUGAAUCCGCCCCGACCGUGGGGUAAGCCUAGAUAUACCUGUCUGACCGAUAGUGCACUAGUACCGUGAGGGAAAGGUGAAAAGCACCCCGGGAGGGGAGUGAAACAGUCUCUGAAACCGUGCGCCUACGAACCGUCGGAGCCCUGUGGGGUGACGGCGUGCCUAUCGAAAAAUGAGUCUGCGAGUCAGUGGCAUGUGGCGAGCGUAACCCGUGUGGGGUACGCGUAGCGAAGGCGAGUCCUAACAGGGCGUUUUGAGUCGCGUGUCCUGGACCCGAAGCGGGAUGAUCUAGCCCUGGGCAGGUUGAAGCGCGGGUAAGACCGCGUGGAGGACCGAACCCACCUGGGUUGAAAACCGGGGGGAUGACCUGGGGCUAGGGGUGAAAGGCCAAUCAAAUUCCGUGAUAGCUGGUUCUCUCCGAAAUGCAUUUGGGUGCAGCGUCGGGGGGUGCCUGCGGGGGGUAGAGCUACUGGAUGCUUGAGGGCCCGUUACGGGUACCGACAGCAGCCAAACUCCGAAUACCCGUCAGGUUGACCCCGGCAGUGAGUCGGCGGGGGAUAAGCUCCGUCGUCGAGAGGGAGACAGCCCAGACCGUCGUCUAAGGUCCCCAAGCGCGUGCUAAGUGGGAAAGGAUGUGGAGUCGCAUAGACAGCCAGGAGGUUGGCUCAGAAGCAGCCAUCCUUGAAAGAGUGCGUAACAGCUCACUGGUCUAGUGGUUCCGCGCCGACAAUGUAGCGGGGCUCAAGCACGCCACCGAAGACGCGGCAGCCGUUUUUGCGGCUGGGUAGGAGAGCGUCCCCAUCGGGUCGAAGCGGGGGUGGAAACGUCCGUGGACUGGUGGGGAGUGAGAAUGCAGACAUGAGUAGCGAGAGCGGGGUGCGAAUCCCCGCCGCUGGAUGACCAAGGGUUCCGGGGCCACGCUCGUCGUCCCCGGGUGAGUCGGGUCCUAAGGCGAGGCCGACAGGCGUAGUCGAAUGGAUGAACGGGUGGAUAUUCCCGUACCGGCUUUCAGCCGAUCAGACCCGAAAGGCCUGUGCUAACCUCCAUGCGUUCCUGAUCCAUCCUUCGGGGUGGUGAUGGUUCGUGUGUUGGGAUCCCGGGUCCGGUAGGGUAGCGCGUGGAGUGACGCAGAGGGGUAGCCGGCCGCGGAGGUGGUUUUCCGUGGUCAAGCGUUCGAGCCCGUCCCGCAGGCAAAUCCGCGGGGCAUGGGGGUGAGGCGUGAUGAUGGGGCCCGUAAGGGGCCGAAUCCGGUGAUCCCGGCUGCCGAGAAAAGCUUCGGCGCGAGGCUGUUGGCCGCCCGUACCCCAAACCGACACCGGUGGUCAGGUAGAGAAUACCAAGGCGAUCGAGCGAAUCCUGGUCAAGGAACUCGGCAAAUUGCUCCCGUGCCUUCGGCAUAAGGGAGACCCCCGAUGGUGCAUAGCUGUUGGGGGUGGCACAGGCCAGGGGGUAGCGACUGUUUACCAAAAACACAGGAGCGUGCGAAGGCGCAAGCCGCUGUAUACGCUCUGACGCCUGCCCGGUGCCGGAAGGUUAAGAGGAUCCGUCAGCCCCUUGGGGUGAAGCGGUGAAUUCAAGCCCCGGUAAACGGCGGUGGUAACUAUAACCAUCCUAAGGUAGCGAAAUUCCUUGUCGGGUAAGUUCCGACCUGCACGAAUGGCGUAACGACUUCCCCACUGUCUCGACCAGGAGCUCGGCGAAAUUGCAGUACGAGUAAAGAUGCUCGUUAAGCGCAGAAGGACGAAAAGACCCCGGGACCUUUACUAUACCUUGGUAUUGGCAUUAGGCGCGGAUUGUGUAGCAUAGGCGGGAGACCCUGAAGCCGCGGCGCCAGCCGUGGUGGAGUCGCAAGGUGAAAUACCGCUCUGUUCUCGUUUGAUGUCUAACCGCGAGCAGUGAUCCUGCUCCGGGACAGUGCCUGGCGGGUAGUUCAACUGGGGCGGUUGCCUCCCAAAGAGUAACGGAGGCGCUCAAAGGUCCGCUCGGCCCGGUUGGCAAUCGGGUGUCGAGUGUAAUCGCACAAGCGGGCUUGACUGCGAGAUCGACGGAUCGAGCAGGGACGAAAGUCGGAGAUAGUGAUCCGGUGCCGGCGCACGGGCGCGGCAUCGCUCAACGGAUAAAAGGUACCCCGGGGAUAACAGGCUGAUCAUUCCCAAGAGUCCAUAUCGACGGGAUGGUUUGGCACCUCGAUGUCGGCUCGUCGCAUCCUGGGGCUGGAGCAGGUCCCAAGGGUUCGGCUGUUCGCCGAUCAAAGCGGCACGCGAGCUGGGUUCAGAACGUCGUGAGACAGUUUGGUCUCUAUCCUCUGCGCUCGUUGGAAUCCUGAGGAGCCCUGCCCAUAGUACGAGAGGACCUGGGUGGACGAACCUCUGGUAUGCCAGUUAUCCUGCCAAGGGUACGGCUGGUUGGCUACGUUCGGAAGGGAUAACCGCUGAAAGCAUCUAAGCGGGAAGCCUUCUCCAAGAUAAGGAUUCCUUACAGGCUUGUCCUGUUGUAGACCCCAUGCAGAACACGUGGUCGAUAGGCCGGAGGUGGAAGCCCCGCGAGGGGUGGAGCCGACCGGUACUAAUGGUCGAAAAGCAAUCACAC